Molecule: non-coding RNA, 1118 nt
Organism: Macaca mulatta (Rhesus monkey)
Lineage: Eukaryota; Metazoa; Chordata; Mammalia; Primates; Cercopithecidae
Source: RefSeq, a predicted model, not a curated record
AAGUGGGCAACCUAACUUACCUUUUGCAAAGGAUAAAUAUAGCUUGUAACAACACUUUAAAAGUCUUUCAUUUUCACUCCCUCUUUGAAAUGCAGUAUUUGUCAUCAACUCAAGGCCCAUAUGUAUAGGAGUCUGUCUUAAUUAUUAUGGCUUACAGUGCAAUUCUGAAAUCUUUUAAAGGAAGUCUCCUAUGUCUCCUAUUCUUUUUUCUUUUUAUGUUCCCUUCUUUUUUUUUUUUUUCAAGUUCAUGUUGGAUGGAUAAUGUGACGAUAUCAUAACAAGGUUCAAGGGUGGCACAGGUCACACAUGCGUGUGAACACCCCAUCGUCACAGGAACUACAAAAGGAUCUCCCAUUGUUCUUUAACAAAAUUUUCUUUGCUCUUCUCAGAAAUUUUAUCUUGUAAAUGAACCUUAGUAUCCAAAUCCACUAAAAAUCUCAAGUUAAAAAAUGUUAUUGCAUUUAUAGAUCAAUAUGCAUGUAAGAAAAAGGAGAAAUUAACAUCUCAUUUCACGAUCCAAUACGAUGUUUAUUCCAGGAUUUUGGUUGAUUUCAUUAAUCAGAAACUGCUUAUGACUUGGAGAAAGUUUGAGCCAGGUAAAAGAAAAGCAAGUCCUUGUGCCAACCCUUCAGGGAGCCCAGACGAUCAAAACACACCGCCAUGAUUCCUUAAGAAUAAGUCCGUAUUUCUCCCUCUGAUGCCAGCAACCUGCAUCUGGAAUGUGAGCUGCUGUGUGAGCUGCUACCAAGCUGAUGAUGGGGCAUGGUAAGCAGGGAGAAGACCUGGAAAACACUGCUAGACCAACUCAAAAUUACAAAGUUUUCCAGAGCUUAUAUGCCUUCGAAGCUAUAUGUCUAUGUGUAAGUGUGCAUUCAUCUAAAGACAUAAGUGAUUAACUUCUCUUAAUCUAUAACUAAGAUCUGAGUCCUGAAGACCUUCCUCUGGAGCCUGAGUAAAUUUACUUAAUCUAAAUGGGUCCAGGUUCUGGGGUGAUUACCCUUAUCUUGUCUCCUGCUAAAUCAUGGAGGAUUGGGAAGUUCCUUCAGACCCUAGUAAACUCUUUUGUGGAGGCCUGGGGAGUUUCUUCAGAUCCCCAAUAAAACUUGCUUAAUCCUAAA